RNAcentral lists this transfer RNA (81 nucleotides) under Cordyceps militaris CM01. RNAcentral describes it as "tRNA-Ser (CGA) (tRNA-Ser-CGA-1-1)". It matches the Rfam family "tRNA". From Rfam's summary of the family: Transfer RNA (tRNA) molecules are approximately 80 nucleotides in length. Their secondary structure includes four short double-helical elements and three loops (D, anti-codon, and T loops). Further hydrogen bonds mediate the characteristic L-shaped molecular structure. tRNAs have two regions of fundamental functional importance: the anti-codon, which is responsible for specific mRNA codon recognition, and the 3' end, to which the tRNAs corresponding amino acid is attached (by aminoacyl-tRNA synthetases). tRNAs cope with the degeneracy of the genetic code in two manners: having more than one tRNA (with a specific anti-codon) for a particular amino acid; and 'wobble' base-pairing, i.e. permitting non-standard base-pairing at the 3rd anti-codon position. The record is from RNAcentral. Lineage: Eukaryota; Fungi; Ascomycota; Sordariomycetes; Hypocreales; Cordycipitaceae.
GGCAGAGUGCCCGAGUGGUUAAGGGGUUGCACUCGAAAUGCAAUACGUUCGCGUGCGCAGGUUCGAAUCCUGUCUCUGUCG